RNAcentral lists this transfer RNA (70 nucleotides) under Alosa alosa (allis shad). RNAcentral describes it as "tRNA-OTHER". The record is from RNAcentral. Lineage: Eukaryota; Metazoa; Chordata; Actinopteri; Clupeiformes; Clupeidae.
GGUAGCCGUGGCCUACUGGUUAGGGCUUCGGACUUGUAACCAGAGGCUUGCCGGUUCGAACCCCCGACCA